CCUACGGGGGGGCAGCAGUGGGGAAUAUUGGACAAUGGGGGCAACCCUGAUCCAGCCAUGCCGCGUGUGUGAAGAAGGCCCUCGGGUUGUAAAGCACUUUCAGUGAGGAAGAACGCCUGGUGGUUAAUACCCAUCAGGAAAGACAUCACUCACAGAAGAAGCACCGGCUAACUCCGUGCCAGCAGCCGCGGUAAUACGGAGGGUGCGAGCGUUAAUCGGAAUUACUGGGCGUAAAGCGCGCGUAGGUGGCUUGAUAAGCCGGUUGUGAAAGCCCCGGGCUCAACCUGGGAACGGCAUCCGGAACUGUCAAGCUAGAGGGCAGGAGAGGAAGGUAGAAUUCCCGGUGUAGCGGUGAAAUGCGUAGAGAUCGGGAGGAAUACCAGUGGCGAAGGCGGCCUUCUGGACUGACACUGACACUGAGGUGCGAAAGCGUGGGUAGCAAACAGGAUUAGAUACCCGGGUAGUC
This 466-nucleotide ribosomal RNA is filed under the name Vreelandella stevensii. RNAcentral's name for it is "partial 16S ribosomal RNA". It matches the Rfam family "Bacterial small subunit ribosomal RNA", at positions 338 to 795 of the family's 1533-position model. Lineage: Bacteria; Pseudomonadati; Pseudomonadota; Gammaproteobacteria; Oceanospirillales; Halomonadaceae. The record is from RNAcentral.